This 373-nucleotide ribosomal RNA is filed under the name uncultured bacterium. RNAcentral's name for it is "bacterial SSU rRNA". It matches the Rfam family "Bacterial small subunit ribosomal RNA", at positions 527 to 896 of the family's 1533-position model. The record is from RNAcentral.
GGGGGGAGCAAGCGUUGUUCGGAUUUACUGGGCGUAAAGGGCGCGUAGGCGGCCAGCACAAGUCAGUUGUGAAAUCUCCGAGCUUAACUCGGAAAGGUCAACUGAUACUGUGCGGCUAGAGUGCGGAAGGGGCAACUGGAAUUCUUGGUGUAGCGGUGAAAUGCGUAGAUAUCAAGAGGAACACCUGCGGCGAAGGCGGGUUGCUGGGCUGACACUGACGCUGAGGCGCGAAGGCUAGGGGAGCGAACGGGAUUAGAUACCCCGGUAGUCCUAGCCUUAAACGAUGAAUGCUUGGUGUCUGGGGUUAUAAAGUCCCUGGGUGCCGUCGCUAACGCUUUAAGCAUUCCGCCUGGGGAGUACGGUCGCAAGACUG